ACUUCUCCUUUAUGCCACCAUGUGAAGAAGGAUGUAUUUGCGUCCCUUUCUGCCAUGAUUAUAAGUUUCCUAAGGCCUCCACAGCCCUGCAGAACUGUGAGUCAAUUAAACCUCUUUUCUUUGUAAAUUACCCAGUCUCGGGUAUGUCUUUAUUAGUAGCAUGAGAACAGACUAAUACAGAUAGUAAGGACCCACAGACCCCAUGCGUUACUGAGAGCCUUCGGGUCUGUUUAUAGAUCACUGUCUGCCUUAGCAUGCAAAUCUUGAGGUUUAGUUUCUUUUCUGAAAAAUAUAAUCCCAGUUAGAAAUGAUAUACAUGGUUAUACUGGUUAUAAAUGUCUUAAUUUACUUGUGCAAACCAUACACCGAGAUUUCAGAAAAAACAAUUACAUUCCUUAACAGAUGUUUGUCCAUGAGAUGCUAAAGUCAUUAUGUGAAAAGGAAAAUAUACAGCUGUUGGAUUUGUACGACAGAAAGACUUUGCAAAUAAAGAUGUCUCAUAUCCCCUUUAAUUUGUAGAUGAGGAAAUUGAUUCAUUGGCAUCAUAAGUAGAUGUAUGAUCUUGAAAAAUAUACAGAGCCAAAUCGAACAAAGGGUUUUUAGCUCCCAAUUCAGGGAGUUUACAGCCUCUUCCCUGUGGCUUGCAUGGCUCCUUCUCACACACAAUCCCCCGCCUGCAUGGUUAGAGUGGGCAGUCCAGGGAUCCAGGCUAUUGGAGUGAAGGGAUAAAAACUGUGGGUAACUCACAGCCAAAUUGGCUAAUUUGUUCUGAGUAGUGACUGAUAGAGUGUUCUGAGGCUACAAGGAAAGAAGAGGUCGGCCACAUUUUAUUUUAAUGCAUUUCCAUUAAAGAGUUCAUAAAUUGUUCUUUUGAGAAGACUCUUAAGAGAUUAAGUUUAGGAAAUAUUGAAAAUGGAGGAAAACCUCCCUUUUAAAUAUGAUCUCCUGUGUUCCAUGAUCCAUUUAACAUCAAACCAUUCUUCACUUGUCUUAACACUUUUCUUAACAGUGAGACACGCAUCAAAGUGAAUUCAAAACAAUGUUAAGAGUUUUAAGAUACCUAAUAUAGCUGAAAGCUAUUUCCUUGUUAUUUAAUAAACGUCUGAUUUUAGGCAAAUCCCAUUCUUCCUUAUUUUUGGACAUCAAAUUGUAGUUUUACAUUUAUUUGUUUAGGGUUAUCCACAACAUGAAACACACACAACUCAUUAAAAGUAAAUUAUAUUUUCAGAAGUCCAUCAGCUAAUGCCAGGUAAACUGUACCAGCAACUAAGGGCAGUGGACAUAAUGGUUUGGAGAAUAAUGUCAUGUUGGAGGACAAGGUUGACCCCUGUUCCCUGGCUAAUAUUUAAUCUAUAUUUUAAUGAAAACAUCGGAUGUUUAUUUUUGCAUUGAAAAAAAAGAAUAAGUAUUGAAAUUUUUCUGAAAGGGAAAAACAAUGUAUGUGUAUUUACAAAUGUAGUAUGUGGCACUUACAUUAAAUAAAAAACACCUGCAACUAUACAGGCUGUGAGAGACUUAGGUAAUAUGAAGAUGAUGGUGAUGGUAAUGAUGAUAAUGAUGACAUGAGACAAAUACCAAUAUUUAUUGAGUCCCAUCUCUUAAAUUGUUGUGCCCUUGGCAUUUGACCAUCAUUCUAUUUCCAUGUAACAGCUUUAAAAGGGAGGUGCCAUAAUCCCCAUUUAAGAUGCAGAACCAUCCACUUGUUCACAUCAGCAAUAUUGUGUUCAGUUUUUAGUGCCACUUUUUAAUAACGACAUUGGAAAUUCUGACGCACACCAGAAUUUUAAAAAUCACUGGAUGAUUAUGACUUUUUGUUUUUACCACUCCCAAACUUAGCCCAGUUCCAGCAAGUUGACUUUGCCUGCUUAAGAUGUAAAGAGAGAAAGAAAAAUAAUUAAGUGUUCCAUGUGAUAGUACUUGUUGCCGUGAAUCCAUAUUUAGUGCCUUCUUUCAAAUCAAAGCUUGCACUGGUCUCUUGUUAUACACUUCAGUGUUGCUCUCCAAUCCUCUCAGCCCUGACCCACCAGGAAAUCUGCACUGUUAGUGCAUGCUGAAUAUCCACAGCAAUGACCUCACAGAACUCUACAUACCACCUCGAGGAGUGAAGCCAAGGUCAGCAUCAGGUUUUCAGUAUGAUGAAAAUAAAAUGUAAAUUUCAAAAAUUGGGGACAUAACACAAAUUUACUGUUUUCUUUAAACAUUUUAAACAUUGCCAUAAUUUUCAGAUAAGAAUAAAUUUUUUAAGUAAGGGCAACUUAAGGAGAUGUAUUUUUAAUGCAACUAAUCCUACUAAAACUGAAUGCUAUUAGUUUAACACAAUUUUUGAGCACUUACUCCGUAUGAGUGAACAAAGUAGAAAAAUUCCCCACCCUUCAGGAGUGUUAUUUGAGUGGAGGGCUAUUUAUAAAUAAAUAAAUGAGCCAGAUGAUGACAUAAAGCAUGGUACCAAGCUAGUGUGGUAGUGGCAUAAAAAUAGAAAUAAGUGAUUAGAAUGGAAUAAACUAUGGAAAUAGAUCCACACAUAUAUGAAUAAACUGGUUUUGGAUUUUGUUGUUGUUGUUAUUCUAACAAAAAUACAAGGCAAUUCUGUGCAGAACAAAUGCUUCCCGAAAUAUUGUAUAUGCAGCAAAUAAAAAAUGAAUUUUGAUCUAUUACUUCACACUAUAUGCACAAAUUCCAAAUGUAUCUGAAACCUAAUAAAAAACCUCAAUUAUAUUUUUUUCAAAAAACGGUGAAGAAAGUCUUUGAGAACUUAGGUUAGGCAAAGAUUUCCUAGAUUCUUUAUCCAAAACAUUAUCUAUUUUUAAAAAUUGAUAACAUUUAAACCUUUUACUCUGAAAUAUGUUGUUCAGUGAAGGAAAAGACAGGCUAGACUGAAAGAAAAUACUGGCAAAUAGUAUAUCUAACAAAAUAUUUAUAUCAGAAUAUUUAAUUAAUGCUCAAAAUUUAACAAUUAAGAAAACACAGCAAAAAAUUGGUCAAAUAUUUGAGCAGAUAUUUCACUAAAGAAAAUAUAUGUUAACAAAUAAGCACAUGGAAAUAUGCUCAACAUCAUUUACUCACUAGGGAAAUGUAAAUUAACCCCAAUGAAAUAGUAAUGCACACUGAAUAGAGUAGCUACAAUUAAAAAUUGACCAUAUCCAGUUCUUAAACCUAUAGAUUGAUACUAAUCUAUUAAUGUACUUAAAAUGUAAAGGAACCCCAGGUGUUUAGACAAUUAACCAAUAAAAAUUAUUUCUCUCAGUUUCUAAACCUAUAGAUUGAUACUAUUAAAUUUAUUUAAAAUGUAAAGGAACUCCAGGUAUUUAGACAAUUAAACCAAUAAAAAUUAGGUCAAAGAACAUCAAACUUUUCUUUUAAGCUAAUAUAAAAAUAUCUAAGACCUUCUGCUGAUUGUCACAUAGUAUAAGGGUAUGUGAGUAAAUGGUUGCUAAACUGCAUUUUGGCACUAACAUAUGACCAGAUCCAUCUGUUGGGAUCCCAUGCCGUGGUCCCAUGGCAGUGAGCUAUUGUGGAAAAUGUAUUCUACUGAGUGGAGGGAGAUGAAGGAAGUGAUCACUAAGGGAAGAAGCUAUGAUGAUUACUGUAGAGAUAGCAGCAACAGGAAGCUGCAAUAAAUAUCUACAAACUUUAUUCCUGUGUUGAAAAUGCAGCUCCUGCCUAAAAUAUUAGAAAUACCUCUUGAAUAAGAAGAUAAAUAAGGAAUAAACAAAAUUUACCUAAAGCACUGUCACCUUGGAAAAUUGGAGCACAAAUGUUACUUCACCUGGCCAACCAGCCGUGGAGCCUGGCCUUGACUUCAGAUCUGCUGAUUUCUACUUACGUGCAGUAAUUGACAUUGGGGCUUAAUUAAGAAACUGUGUUCCAAACGAAAAGAUUUGCCAUUAUUUGGGCAAAGGCUUGUUGACUUUGGCACGAGAACCAAGUGUCACACUUUCCUUUGGCAACUGUGAAUAUUCUUGUCCAGUUGGUAUAUAUUUCCAAGAAUGUUUCCCAUUGGCCUAUUUUGGAUUCCAUUUAUAAAAUGUUAAGGGAUAAUAACAUUUACCAAGUACAUGUCUGAAAGUUUGCACUGAAAUAUUCCACGCUAUGCCCCCCCCCACAACCAUUCCUUUUUUUAUUUAUCCUUAAAUGCCCUUACACCUUCAGUAUUCUCACAGCCCUUUUGUUCUGCCUCAAAGUCAGACCCUUCUCAAUUCCUGCCUCUAUAUUAAGAUAAAUAACCAAAAAAUCUUCAACUUGCCAUCUUGUUAUGUAAGUCCAAUGCUGACAUUAUUUCUUUUCUCAGCUCUGCCAUUUGGGGCUGAGAUUUAGAGCUGCUGCUCGACAUGAGCAUUCCUCAUCUCCUUUCCAUUUCAUAAAUGUGGAUGCUCACUGGUUUUCCUCUUAUUUGGGUUCCCCAAGCUUAUCUGCUUACUGGUUUGCCUUUCUAUGUAUGCAUGACAGUCAGAAAGGUAAACUGUUAUAGGAAGUGUGGGGACAUCACAGUGCAUUUGUGUAUCUAACAAACUUAUUGAGCACACACUGUGUCAAAUGCUUAUCACAGCCUCUGAAAUAUUAAUAAUCCCUUUUCCUGAAUAGUGUAUACAUAGCUUCUAUAACUUGAUCCAUCCUCUCAGUUAUUAAUUUAUAUAUUUGUCUCCCUCCCUAUACCGGUGAUUCUUAACUAUCUGGCAAUGUCUAGAGACACUUUUGAUUGUCAAAACUGGGAAGAUGCUAUUGAUACCUAGUGGGUAGAGGUUAGGGAUGCUGCUAAAUAACCUACAUUUCACCUGACUUCCCUCACAACUAAAUAUUAUCAGCCCUCAACAUCCAGUGCUGAACUCGAAAACUGCUCCAGGCUAUGAACCCUGGGGAGCAGGGACUGUGUCAUGGUCAUCCUUCUGUCUUCACUGCUUCACACCACUAGAAGGGGCUUCCCAAGUGGUGGCAGUGAAACUGCUGUGGAAAUUGCAGGCCAGCAAAGAUGAAUAGGACAAGGCUGUUUCCUAGAGCCUUGCUACUCAAAUGCAAUCCAUGGACCAGCAGAAUGGCUAUCACCUGGGAAGUUGUUAGAAAUGCAGAAUUUGAAGCCCCACACCAGACCUACUGAGUCAGAAUCCUCAUUUUAACAAAAUUCUUAAGUGAUGCAGAUGCACUCUAAAGUUUAGAAGCACUGACCUAAACAUGUUAGUGUCAAAUGGAUGGGGUGGGUAGGUGGAAGAUUCUCAAAAGCGGAAGUCCAUGUUCACCUGACAAAAAUAGGCAAAGGGAUUCCACCUGGGUUCAUCUCUGGCGGGCGCAUGAGGUCUAGGUGAGCAUCGCUGAGCCCAGAAAACAGCUAGCGUUGGGGAUCUCAGAGCCCCAGUUGCAAACCCAGAAUGCAGGCAGAUCACUUAGGCAAUCAACUCCCUUUAUGGAUAAUGAGUGUGGACAUCUUUCCUGGAUCCUGAUGCCAGGAGAUGUAGAAACAAAUGGUUUGUGACACAGAGUCACAGAGCCAUUAGCUGGAUGUACAGACCAGGCAUGGUGGCUCACACCUGUAAUCCCAACACUUUGGGAGGCUGAGUUGCUACAGAAGGAGUACUAACAUACAUUGCAAAUCAGAUCCAACUAAAUGAAUUAAGGAGAGUGAAUUGAGG
Molecule: long non-coding RNA, 5621 nt
Filed under: Homo sapiens (human)
Lineage: Eukaryota; Metazoa; Chordata; Mammalia; Primates; Hominidae
Description: HSALNT0301904
Source: RNAcentral